Molecule: ribosomal RNA, 117 nt
Organism: Cricetulus griseus (Chinese hamster)
Lineage: Eukaryota; Metazoa; Chordata; Mammalia; Rodentia; Cricetidae
Source: Ensembl
UGCUGAGGCCUCCACCCUUAAUGUGCCCAAUCUCCUCUGAUCUUGGAAGCUAAGCAGGGUUGGGGCCUGGUGAGUACCUGGAUGGAGACUGCCUGGGAAUACCGGGAACUUUAGGCU